Long non-coding RNA from Plutella xylostella (diamondback moth), 951 nucleotides. RefSeq lists it as uncharacterized. The record is from RefSeq and is a predicted model, not a curated record. Lineage: Eukaryota; Metazoa; Arthropoda; Insecta; Lepidoptera; Plutellidae.
UCUGUCAAACAUGUAACUCGUACUACCAAAAAGCUAUAAUUUACACGUAAACUUAUUUCGUUUUUUAAAACUACGAUUUGAAAUAACUCAUACUACCAAUUUUAGUUUAUGAUAGUUUCCGCUAGAGGCGCUGCUUGUAAAUGUAUGGAAGAAAACUGAAACUAUAAACGUUGUGUCAACUAUCAACAACCUAUACUAGACGUACAGAGCGUCUAGUACGGGCUUGCAAUAUAUGUCAACGUUGAUAGAAAUCGUAAGCACGCCAAACUAUUAGUUUCCAAGUUAAUUGGUAGUAUGAGUUACAUUUUUUUAUUAUAGUUCAUGCGAUAUCGUUUAUGCUACAACUCGAUUGUGCGAACUUCACUCUAGAUACUUUACCUCUUUCUAGCGCUUGUAAAAAGAAAGGGCAAACACACAUGUCAUUUUGGCGUCUUGAUUUUCGUAUAUUAUAUGUCAAUGACUCUAACCAAAAUAUAUAUGUCAAUCAAUGUCAAUGACUCUAACAAAAACAAACUGAAAUUUGGUUUACAAGCUUUUAUUUAUAAAAAUUAUAGAAUUAAGAAUGAUCCUCACAAGUGCAUCGCAAUUCGAAGUACCUAAUUGUAGAUUUUAUGGAAAGGAAUGGGGACCUAAACAAGCCUGCCUAUGGACCCCACGGCAGGUUAACUGCCAUAAAUAAAUGUCCGUACAUGGUGUAGAAUCUCCUACGACCUAUUCUGCACAUGUGGGGAGCCCAAGACGCUCUGUCGUUGGACGAAGCCCAAGAUGCCCUGUCGUCGGAAGAAGCCCAAUACUUGUUGCCCCACUGAGACCAAGGCAGAGUCCUAGGACAACCCGUCGACGCGUGAUUCGUCCGAGGCAGUCAACGCCGCGACGCUAUCGUCCUCUCGUGGGGAUUUAGGCCAUUUAUGUAAUGGAUAACUAUAUAAGUAAUAAAUGAUUAUUUUUAAA